UACGUAGGGAGCAAGCGUUGUCCGGAAUCACUGGGCGUAAAGCGCACGUAGGCGGAUUGCUAAGUCAGGGGUGAAAUCCUGGAGCUCAACUCCAGAACUGCCUUUGAUACUGGCGAUCUCGAGUCCGGGAGAGGUGAGUGGAACUGCGAGUGUAGAGGUGAAAUUCGUAGAUAUUCGCAAGAACACCAGUGGCGAAGGCGGCUCACUGGCCCGGUACUGACGCUGAGGUGCGAAAGCGUGGGGAGCAAACAGG
Molecule: ribosomal RNA, 253 nt
Filed under: uncultured bacterium
Lineage: Bacteria
Description: partial 16S ribosomal RNA
Rfam family: Bacterial small subunit ribosomal RNA
Source: RNAcentral